AAAAACAAAACCAAAACAACACACACAAAAAAAGGGGGGGGCGAGAGCAGUUGUGAUUUCCAGCUCGGCCUCCCGUAGCACGCGUGGAUCCCACGCGUGUUUCCAGCUGCACUUUCCAGGCUCUGCUCGCACCUCGGCAGGCGCGACGCGGGCGGAGGGGGGAAGCCGGGAUUUUCCCCGGCCAUGUCUGCCCGGGGGACACCCGCCCGCCGCCACCUCCCCACGGCUCCGUGUCGCCGCUCCCCCGCCCCGAGCCCCGCCGGCCGCUUCCCCCGCUGGGGACACCGCGUUGGGCGGCCCCGCCGCCCGCUGACCGGGGCAUCACCCCUGCCGUUCCCGUCCCCUGCCCGCCGCUCCGGGGAGGGCGCGGGGGGCCGGGGAGGGACCCGCCGGCUUCUGGGACUUGUAGUGCGGGCUGCGGCCGCCGCUUCUCCCCCGGCCCGGCCCGGGACUACGGUGCCCACAUGGCCUUGCGCCCCGGCGCAUGAGCGCUCGGGCGCUGUAGCGCAUCUAUUAUACUGCCUUGCCGAGGAUAAAAAGAAGAGCAACUGGAGGGACUGUAAGGCAAACGUUGCUGGAGCUGCCGGGGCAAAUUUGCUCUAGGUUGUAUGGUUGCACCCUGGAAAUGGGAUGUCAGUCCCAUUCAGGGAGCAUAAAGGAAGAAAGAAAAUCUCCCCGUUGCUGCCACAGUGACAGCGAGUGAGAGCCCGAGCAGGAAGAUGUCGACAGUCACGUCAGCGAUCCAGGCUCCUCAGGGCCCUGUGAAUCCACCACCUCCAGAGGUGACUAAUCCAAAUAAACCUGGCAGGAAGACCAACCAACUGCAAUAUAUGCAAAAUGUUGUGGUGAAGACAUUGUGGAAGCAUCAGUUUGCUUGGCCUUUCUACCAGCCUGUUGAUGCAAUUAAACUGAAUUUGCCGGAUUAUCACAAAAUAAUAAAAAACCCCAUGGACAUGGGGACAAUCAAGAAGCGCCUGGAACACAACUAUUACUGGAGUGCCAGUGAAUGUAUGCAGGAUUUCAACACCAUGUUUACAAACUGUUACAUUUAUAACAAGCCCACAGAUGACAUUGUACUCAUGGCCCAAGCCCUGGAGAAGAUAUUUCUGCAGAAGGUUGCCCAGAUGCCUCAGGAGGAGGUGGAAUUGCUACCCCCAGUUCCUAAAGGCAAAGGUCGCAAGCCCUCAGCAGGCACACAGAGCACAGGAGCUCAGCAAGCCGUGGCCGUGUCUUCCGUGUCCCCGCCGGCCCCGUUCCAGAACGUCCCUCCAGCCGUGUCUCAGACACCCGUCAUCGCUGCCACCCCCGUGCCAACCAUCACCGCCAAUGUCCCUCCUGUCGCCGCCCCAGCCGCCGCCGCCCCGCCGCCGCCCGCCGCUCCGAUCAUGCCCGUGGUGCCUCCCACGCCCCCGGUCGUCAAGAAAAAGGGAGUGAAGCGGAAAGCAGACACCACCACCCCCACCACCUCUGCCAUCACUGCCAGCAGGAGCGAGUCCCCCACGCCCCUCUCGGACCCCAAACAGGCCAAAAUCAUCGCACGCAGGGAGAGUGGCGGCCGCCCCAUCAAACCACCAAAGAAAGACCUGGAAGAUGGAGAGGUCCCUCAGCACGCAGGGAAGAAGGGCAAACUCUCUGAGCACCUCAAGUACUGUGACAGCAUCCUCAAGGAGAUGCUCUCCAAGAAGCACGCAGCCUAUGCGUGGCCCUUUUACAAGCCCGUGGAUGCAGAGGCCUUGGAAUUACAUGACUAUCAUGACAUUAUCAAACACCCCAUGGAUCUCAGUACUGUGAAAAAAAAAAUGGACAGUCGGGAAUACCAGGAUGCACAAGGUUUUGCAGCAGAUAUUCGGUUAAUGUUCUCUAAUUGUUACAAGUACAAUCCUCCAGACCACGAGGUGGUGGCCAUGGCCAGGAAGCUUCAGGAUGUCUUUGAGAUGAGGUUUGCAAAAAUGCCUGAUGAGCCUGCAGAGGCCCCCACUCCACCUCCCCCAACAGCCCCAGUGGUGAGCAAAAGCACAGAGAGCAGCCACAGCAGUGAGGAGAGCUCCUCUGACUCUGACAGCUCUGACUCUGAGGAGGAGCGGGCAACUCGGCUGGCCGAGCUCCAGGAGCAGCUGAAAGCCGUCCAUGAGCAGCUGGCUGCACUGUCCCAAGCGCCAGUGAACAAACCAAAGAAAAAAAAAGAGAAGAAGGAGAAAGAGAAGAAAAAGAAAGAUAAAGAGAAGGAAAAAGAAAAGCACAAAGUUAAAGCUGAGGAGGAGAAGAAACCCAAGGUGGCUCAACCACCAAAACAAACGCAACAGAAGAAAGCCCCAGCUAAGAAAGCGAACAGCACAACCACAGCUAACAGGCAGCCCAAGAAAGGAGGCAAACAGGCAUCUGCAACCUAUGACUCGGAUGAGGAGGAGGAAGGGCUGCCCAUGACCUAUGAUGAGAAACGACAGCUCAGCCUGGACAUCAACCGCCUGCCUGGGGAGAAGCUGGGCAGGGUGGUUCACAUCAUCCAGUCCCGGGAGCCUUCCCUCAGAGACUCCAAUCCCGAUGAGAUUGAAAUAGAUUUUGAAACCUUGAAGCCCACAACAUUACGAGAACUGGAGAGAUACGUGAAAUCUUGUUUACAGAAAAAACAAAGGAAACCAUUUUGUAAGUUACCCUCCCAGGGCACGUGUUCCCCCCAGCAGCUCUUGGGCUCAGCUUUGGAGUCAGGGCAUGUGUAUUGAGAUUCUGUUAUCCACCUGUUGGGUAUGUGAUGGCAGGAAUAUUUAGAGAUUCUUUUCUCCCAAGGAAAUGUACAGAAACUUCCUGUUUUUUUCUCUGUUCUUUCUUCCCAUGGUAUCCUGCUGCAGAGACCUGGAGAGCCAAUGUGUUCCUCUGCAAGACCUGUGGGAUGCCUUUAUUUCUUACCCAGGCUCUGGAAGGCCCUGUAAAGGUUUCAGUCUCAUUGUGUCAGGUGUUACGUGCACAUAUCUGGAAGGAUCAGUUUCUUAUCCUGAAUAGUUUAGCAUCUAAUUAGGAAGAAAACAAAAAAUGUGGUUGGGAUCCAAACCACCAAGGCAAUAAAUGAGAUUUGCACAAGGUUACGUGGUUACCUGUGGAUUCUGAGCGUGUCUGAGUUGUGUAUUCACCCCAAAACUGCUCUUUCUGUGUGUCCUGAUCACCACAUUGCCCUCACCCUCUGGCAGUUCAGAGGGUGAAUGUCAGUCUGCUGCUGAGUGUGUGGUUCAGUGUGAGACAGACUUUGUGCCUCAUCCACAAAGUGAAUUUCUGCAGCCCCUUGAGAGUUUAACUCCAGAUGGACAGCAAUAGGAUCACUUACCUGAAGUAAGUCUCCUGCUCCUUUGUUUAAGGGAGUUUUGCUUUUAAGAUUGACACAAAAGCUACUCCUUGCUCUUGCAGAGCAUCUUCAUUUCUUCCUCACAGGAUUUUCAGGAAGGCCUAAGCAAAGCGCAGACUUUGACCUUUCUUUUUGCUUUAUUUUUUUUUCCCCCUAAAUCUUUCACUGUUGGCAUAGCUCAGGAAAGGAUUUUCCAGAGUGCUUAGGAACAGGAAGCAUCCUUCAAUUUUGGAACCAGGGCACAGAGUAACACAGAAUAACCUCAGAUACCCAUCCUGUGAGCCUGGCAUGCCUGAGCUUCUCUGGACUCCUGUACUGAGUGUUCCCUCUUAGGACUGUGCUUUCCAGAUUUCUUUUUUUGUUUUUUUUAAACCAUUUCUUUAAAACAGCUCACAGAAAUAUAGUUACUUCCUUGCUGGAUCAGGCAAAAUAUCUGGCUCCUGUCUCGUGCUUCCAAUCCUAGCCAACACCUGUGUUCAAUUACUCCUCCUUUGGAGGAAUAUUUCCUUUCUUUGGCAAUGUGAGUGUUACUGGUCCUUUUCACCCUUUCCAUCCUGAUGCAGUUACAUUCCUGUUGUCUGCCAGCCUUUGCCUCAGUUGGUUUUUAAUUUGCCUUUGUUUUGUUUUCUAUUUAGAGCAACAUAAACCACAGGUAGAUUCUUGCGUGAGGAGAUCAGAAGUUUUAAUGGCAGAUGCUUUACUCCUGACAACCUUUAAUGGGACACUUUAUUUUACAGGGCAGAAAACCCAUGUAACAAUUCUGUAAUUACAAAUCUGUAAUUAUUGACCAUAUAACUGGCUGCUGCCAGUGGGAAAAAGCAAGCAGCAAAGUCAAAAGAAGAGUUAGCUCAGGAAAAGAAGAAAGAACUAGAAAAACGGUUACAGGAUGUCAGUGGGCAGCUAAACAACAACAAGAAGCCUGCGAAGAAAG
Molecule: RNA transcript, 4265 nt
Organism: Poecile atricapillus (Black-capped chickadee)
Lineage: Eukaryota; Metazoa; Chordata; Aves; Passeriformes; Paridae
Gene: BRD3
Gene name: bromodomain containing 3
Exons: 11
Source: RefSeq, a predicted model, not a curated record